GGUAGUGGUAGCUCAGUGGUUAAGAUGUUAGACUACUGAUUGGAAGGUCAUUAGUUCAAACCCCAGCACUACCA
Molecule: non-coding RNA, 74 nt
Organism: Pangasius djambal
Lineage: Eukaryota; Metazoa; Chordata; Actinopteri; Siluriformes; Pangasiidae
Source: the annotation of a GenBank genome assembly